UACGAGGGGUGCAAGCGUUGCUCGGAAUUAUUGGGCGUAAAGGGUAGGUAGGUGGUCUGAUUUGUCAGGGGUGAAAGCCUUGGGCUUAACCCAAGAAGUGCCCCUGAAACGGUCAGACUGGAGUCUUGGAGAGGGUCGUGGAAUUCCCGGUGUAGCGGUGAAAUGCGUAGAGAUCGGGAGGAACACCAGAGGCGAAGGCGGCGACCUGGACAAGCACUGACACUCAACUACGAAAGCGUGGGGAGCAAACAGG
RNAcentral lists this ribosomal RNA (253 nucleotides) under uncultured bacterium. RNAcentral describes it as "partial 16S ribosomal RNA". It matches the Rfam family "Bacterial small subunit ribosomal RNA", at positions 524 to 776 of the family's 1533-position model. The record is from RNAcentral.